AUCAUCAUGAGAAAGGAGAAAAAUGAUGCUUUUGAUAAAAGCAAGUCAAGAAAGGUUGUGUCCUCCUCCUCACAUUUUUUUUGGAAAGCAGUCCUAUUCAAAUUUAAAAUUGAAGCCACUUCCUCUCUUCCCAACAGUAUUGAAACCUGAGAAGAAAAGAGCGCAGCCUUAAAUGCUAUUACUCUGCAGCUAGUACAAAAGGAGAGGGAUUUGCAUUAGAACAAGUGCUAAGAGUUGUGCUUCAGGCAAGGAGGAUGCUUUGGUUGUUCAAUCAUUCAAGGUAUGCACUGGCUGCCAUUCAUAGAAUUUCCCUCUGAUAAAACUGUAACAAACCUAUUCAAUAAUACAUAUGGCAUUGAGAUAUACCCAAUAGUCACUCAUCCUUCACAAGCAAAGGGGAUGCUGAAACUGACUAUAAACAAACCUUCAUGGGGACACGGAUGGAAGAUAAUAAGUGUAGCUUCUUCCUCUGGGCAAGCGCUCAUUAUCAAGUGCCUCUGGGCAAGGCACUACAUCUGAACACAGCCAGAUAUAGAUGGUCUGUGACAGAAGAAACCUGAUGGUCUUACUGAACUCACCCCAGGUACUGUGCUUUUGAUAUUAUUCUAUAGUGUAGUCUUUAUAAUUUGGUUUUCUGUAGCAUCCCUGGAACAAGUUCAUAUGUGCUGGUGUGAGUUUCAUUUUGCAUGUGCUGCUUUAUCAUGAACAUGGAAGAUAUACUAGGUUUCUGUGGUAGAAACACUCUGGCCUCUUCCAAAGCAGAAGGCUCUGGGCUGUAGACCUUCAAAUAGACGCAAACAUGCAAAGCUUUUAAAAGCUCUGACUUCUGGGAAUGGAACAAAUUGCUGAAAUCACUUCUGCCUUGAUCCAACAAUUCAUUAUCUCCCAGAAACAGUGGCUUUUAUAGCUGCUAAGGGGCUGCUAUACUCUUCUAGAAAGAAGGAAUAGUCUCAAUACAGACAUGAAUUUUCAAGCCCUUUAUUAAAAUCUUCAGACUUAAUUUUAUUUGUCUAAAUCUGUAAUCAAUCUAAGAAUGGGAUGGAGAUAUUUUUAUAAAACGAAUUUAGAAAAUAACUAAUUUUAUUUUACAUGAAACAAAAUUGGCCCUUUAUAAUAAACUCCCCAAAUAUUCCAGAGAAAGAAUUAUAUUUUUAUUCCCUCAUUAUACAGAUGGGAAAUUAUCAAAAUGAAUAUUAAAAUCUUGAUUCCUAUUCAUGCUUGAUAUGGAAAACAAGACCUUGUAAACUUUUAAUAUUUUCUAAUAGACAAGUGUGUAAUAAUUUACUAAGGGCACCCUAUUGUCCUAGAUUUAUUUUGAGUCUCUUUAUUGACGUAAUCAGAUUAAUUUAAGAAUGAAAAUUAACCCCAACUUUAGAGACAGAAACAACACAAGUCAAGAGUGCUGUCUGAUUUGCCUGAGGCCUGUUUUCACCCAGGAAAGAAAUGGCACUAUUGGUGAUUAUUUAGUAGGUAAAUAACUAUAGGUCAUGUCUGAAUCUAAUGAUAGGAAUACUUUCAUCAAACCUAAACUUGAAUGAUACCAUUACACAAAAAUGGGGACCAGGAAAAGAGUUCAGUAUCUUGAUUUUUAAGACAUGUUUAUAUAUCUUCAAUUAGUGUCUACACAGGGCAAUUUUAUUUAGAUUAGUUAGGUA
RNAcentral lists this long non-coding RNA (1655 nucleotides) under Homo sapiens (human). RNAcentral describes it as "HSALNT0306118". Lineage: Eukaryota; Metazoa; Chordata; Mammalia; Primates; Hominidae. The record is from RNAcentral.